Non-coding RNA from Lolium perenne, 580 nucleotides. NCBI's taxonomy places the organism in Eukaryota, Viridiplantae, Streptophyta, Magnoliopsida, Poales, Poaceae. The record is from RefSeq and is a predicted model, not a curated record.
AAUAAGUGCAAUUGCUCAAUAAAAAGAGGGUAGACAUAACGGUGGUGCAGAGCGUGCUACCAUGUCAGUUUCACUAUAUUCAGAAAAAUCAGUAAAUAAUGCGCAGCUGCAGUACGACUGGAUACCCACAGAAGUACAAGGAAAAAACGAUGAGAAAUGGUCUACUUUACCCAAACAUGGAUGAAUCGUUCUAACACCAGUGAAUUGACGUCCGCUCAACUCGCAAGUCACGCGCAAGGCACACAAGCGCAGGCCCAAGGUCGUCCUUCAGCAGCCGUCCCGUGCGCGCUAGUAUCCAAGAAGAGAGAGCAGCAGCUCCUAAGCAGCUCGGCAUACCGGCGAGUGACCACUGGUGGCCUGCGACGACGAGGACGCCUUGAGCAACAUGAGCCAUGCAGACGAUCUGUGAUUUUUUUGUGAAAUUUGCUACAUAGUUUACCUCUCUUUUCUGAUCUAAUCGAGGUGUUGUUCUGUACAUCAUUGUUGAUGCAUUUUCUGCAAUUUGGGGAAGGACAAUCAUACUGCAAAAAAAGUACAGAUUUCAUAAUCGUGAAGUAUAAGUUAUUCGUGUGGAGAGCAA